CCUACGGGAGGCAGCAGUAGGGAAUAUUGGACAAUGGGUGCGAGCCUGAUCCAGCCAUGCCGCGUGCAGGAAGAAGGCCUUCUGGGUUGUAAACUGCUUUUGCCGGGGGAUAAAAGACCCAUGCGUGGGGAAUUGAAGGUACCCGGUGAAUAAGCCACGGCUAACUACGUGCCAGCAGCCGCGGUAAUACGUAGGUGGCGAGCGUUGUCCGGAUUUAUUGGGUUUAAAGGGUGCGUAGGCGGCCCCGUAAGUCAGUGGUGAAAUACGGCAGCUCAACUGUCGAGGUGCCAUUGAUACUGCGGGGCUUGAGUACAGUCGAGGUAGGCGGAAUUGACGGUGUAGCGGUGAAAUGCUUAGAUAUCGUCAAGAACACCGAUAGCGAAGGCAGCUUGCUAGGCUGUAACUGACGCUGAGGCACGAAAGUGCGGGGAUCAAACAGGAUUAGAUACCCUGGUAGUCCGCACAGUAAACGAUGGUCACUCGGUGUUGGCGGUACACGGCCAGCGCCUUAGCGAAAGCGUUAAGUGACCCACCUGGGGAGUACGCCCGCAAGGGUGAAACUCAAAUGAAUUGACGG
RNAcentral lists this ribosomal RNA (577 nucleotides) under uncultured bacterium. RNAcentral describes it as "bacterial SSU rRNA". It matches the Rfam family "Bacterial small subunit ribosomal RNA", at positions 338 to 916 of the family's 1533-position model. The record is from RNAcentral.